UACGUAGGGUGCGAGCGUUAAUCGGAAUUACUGGGCGUAAAGCGUGCGCAGGCGGUUCGUUGUGUCGGCGGUGAAAGCCCCGGGCUCAACCUGGGAAUGGCCGUUGAAACUGGCGAACUGGAGUGUGGCAGAGGGGGGUGGAAUUCCGCGUGUAGCAGUGAAAUGCGUAGAGAUGCGGAGGAACACCGAUGGCGAAGGCAGCCCCCUGGGCUGACACUGACGCUGAGACGCGAAAGCGUGGGGAGCGAACAGG
Molecule: ribosomal RNA, 253 nt
Filed under: uncultured bacterium
Lineage: Bacteria
Description: partial 16S ribosomal RNA
Rfam family: Bacterial small subunit ribosomal RNA
Source: RNAcentral